This is a long non-coding RNA of Bactrocera neohumeralis, 352 nucleotides long. RefSeq lists it as uncharacterized. The record is from RefSeq and is a predicted model, not a curated record. NCBI's taxonomy places the organism in Eukaryota, Metazoa, Arthropoda, Insecta, Diptera, Tephritidae. The transcript is spliced from 3 exons.
UUAGAAUAGGAAAGACGAAUGCCCAAUUUUUCAAGAACGAGAAAACGAAAAGCGCACUUUAUUUUGGAUUUUAAAGAGAGUAAACGAAAAACUUAACAAGGAGAAAAAGCAGUGGCAUCAUUGGCAAAUGUUAUAAAAAAUGUGGACUUUGACAGCGCUCUCUCGAAUCAAAGAGUUUCGGAUCAAUUUAUCCAUGGCUGGCUCGACAACGACUGAACGAUAGAGCGUAAGCGUACGUGUGAAGUUAGUUUGCACAAUUGUGCUAAGAAAUGCCGACCACAGAUGUAAAUGCUUUAUGUAUACAUGUAUAUAAGUAACAUUAAACACAAUUAUUUCAGUUUAAUUAAAGAAA